Molecule: ribosomal RNA, 478 nt
Filed under: uncultured bacterium
Lineage: Bacteria
Description: partial 16S ribosomal RNA
Rfam family: Bacterial small subunit ribosomal RNA
Source: RNAcentral
AUGAACGCUAGCGGGAGGCCUAACACAUGCAAGCCGAGCGGUAGAGUUUCUUCGGAAACUUGAGAGCGGCGCACGGGUGCGUAACACGUGUGCAACCUACCUUUAUCUGGGGGAUAGCCUUUCGAAAGGAAGAUUAAUACCCCAUAAUAUAAUGAUUGGCAUCAAUUAUUAUUGAAAACUCCGGUGGAUAGAGAUGGGCACGCGCAAGAUUAGAUAGUUGGUGAGGUAACGGCUCACCAAGUCAAUGAUCUUUAGGGGUCCUGGGAGGGAGAUCCCCCACACUGGUACUGAGACACGGACCAGACUCCUACGGGAGGCAGCAGUGAGGAAUAUUGGACAAUGGGUGAGAGCCUGAUCCAGCCAUCCCGCGUGAAGGAUGACGGUCCUAUGGAUUGUAAACUUCUUUUGUACAGGGAUAAACCUACCCUCGUGAGGGUAGCUGAAGGUACUGUACGAAUAAGCACCGGCUAACUCCGUG